AAAGAAGAACUUGCCAUGGUAGAAGACUCU
Molecule: non-coding RNA, 30 nt
Filed under: Cricetulus griseus (Chinese hamster)
Lineage: Eukaryota; Metazoa; Chordata; Mammalia; Rodentia; Cricetidae
Source: RNAcentral